UAGGAUCUCGUACGUGACCUGCGGAGGGAUCAUUACACAAAUAUGAAGGCGGGCUGGAACCUCUCGGGGUUACAGCCUUGCUGAAUUAUUCACCCUUGUCUUUUGCGUACUUCUUGUUUCCUUGGUGGGUUCGCCCACCACUAGGACAAACAUAAACCUUUUGUAAUUGCAAUCAGCGUCAGUAACAAAUUAAUAAUUACAACUUUCAACAACGGAUCUCUUGGUUCUGGCAUCGAUGAAGAACGCAGCGAAAUGCGAUAAGUAGUGUGAAUUGCAGAAUUCAGUGAAUCAUCGAAUCUUUGAACGCACAUUGCGCCCUUUGGUAUUCCAAAGGGCAUGCCUGUUCGAGCGUCAUUUGUACCCUCAAGCUUUGCUUGGUGUUGGGCGUCUUGUCUCUAGCUUUGCUGGAGACUCGCCUUAAAGUAAUUGGCAGCCGGCCUACUGGUUUCGGAGCGCAGCACAAGUCGCACUCUCUAUCAGCAAAGGUCUAGCAUCCAUUAAGCCUUUUUUUCAACUUUUGACCUCGGAUCAGGUAGGGAUACCCGCUGAACUUAA
Molecule: ribosomal RNA, 555 nt
Filed under: Alternaria alternata
Lineage: Eukaryota; Fungi; Ascomycota; Dothideomycetes; Pleosporales; Pleosporaceae
Description: eukaryotic LSU rRNA
Rfam family: 5.8S ribosomal RNA (bases 201-354)
Source: RNAcentral